UUGUCUUUUAAAUAAAGACCAGUAUGAAUGGCAAGACGAAAGUUCAACUGUCUCCCUAAAUUAAUCAAUGAAAUUGAUCUUCCCGUGCAGAAGCGGGAAUAAAAUUAUAAGACGAGAAGACCCUAUGGAGCUUUAAAUAUAUGAUCAACUGUAUAAUAUAAAAUUCAAUAGAUUAAGCAUUAAAUAAAACAUUAUGAUCAAAAUUUUAGGUUGGGGCGACCACGGAGAAAAACAAAACCUCCGAGAUGAAAAGAGUAUCUUAAUUUAUGAACUACAGUUCUAAUAAAUAAAAUAUUUAACAUAAUUGAUCCAAUAUAUUGAUCAACGAACUAAGUUACCCUAGGGAUAACAGCGCAAUCCUUUCCAAGAGUCCCUAUCGACGAAUGGGUUUACGACCUCGAUGUUGGAUCAGGACACCCCAAUGGUGCAGCCGCUAUUAAAGGUUCGUUUGUUCAACGAUUAAAGUCCUA
RNAcentral lists this ribosomal RNA (470 nucleotides) under Batrachuperus pinchonii (Western Chinese mountain salamander). Its description in RNAcentral is "partial 16S ribosomal RNA". It matches the Rfam family "Bacterial large subunit ribosomal RNA", at positions 1969 to 2598 of the family's 2925-position model. The record is from RNAcentral. Lineage: Eukaryota; Metazoa; Chordata; Amphibia; Caudata; Hynobiidae.